CUUUUUCCAAACUACUGCUGCAGCUUCUCUCCAAGGUUUGAGGAAAGGCACACCAACUACAAUGUUCCUGAAACUGGGGCUCAAAAGCCAAGGUAUUCACCUUAUACUUCUUCAACCGUCUGCUAAAAAUUACCUCAAGGAAACAGGUUUGAGAUCAAAGCAGGAGGCUGGAUAGAAAUAGGUUAUGGAAACUACCCUUGUAUCUUUUAACCCGAGCAUGAUUGAUAGCUUUAUUUAAUUGCUAAAGGUUCCCUUUGAUGUCUUCAGUCUCUGGGGGCGGUGGGAAGGGUUGAUUAUCCAGACAGAGAUAUCUAUUUUGUGGCUUUUUGCCAAUUCAGCUAUUCUUCCUGUUUCCCUAUACUGUAGCCUUUGUAGAGGUGAGCAACUGAGAAUUCUGGGAGCGUUCAGUCUCACACACAAACUUUCCAUAAAUGUGCUGAAUCUGUUAGGAAA
Hypanus sabinus (Atlantic stingray) is the source of this 453-nucleotide long non-coding RNA. RefSeq lists it as uncharacterized. NCBI's taxonomy places the organism in Eukaryota, Metazoa, Chordata, Chondrichthyes, Myliobatiformes, Dasyatidae. The record is from RefSeq and is a predicted model, not a curated record. The transcript is spliced from 3 exons.